Molecule: ribosomal RNA, 770 nt
Filed under: uncultured fungus
Lineage: Eukaryota; Fungi
Description: eukaryotic LSU rRNA
Rfam family: 5.8S ribosomal RNA (bases 222-375)
Source: RNAcentral
UGCGGAAGGAUCAUUAUUGUACAACAGAGGUGCCAAAGGCUGUCGCUGACCUUUAAGGGGUUGUGCACGCUAGUGUACUCUCACAAUCCAUCUCACACCUUUGUGCAUCACCGCGUGGGCCCUUUCCCUCCCUUGUGAGGGGAGAGAGAGAGCUUGCGUUUUCACAUCAAACUCAAUACAGUGUAGAAUGUAUUAUUUGUGCGGUCACACGCAAUCAAUACAACUUUCAACAACGGAUCUCUUGGCUCUCGCAUCGAUGAAGAACGCAGCGAAAUGCGAUACGUAAUGUGAAUUGCAGAAUUCAGUGAAUCAUCGAAUCUUUGAACGCACCUUGCGCCCCUUGGCAUUCCGAGGGGCACACCCGUUUGAGUGUCGUGAAAUCAUCAAAACCCUUUUCUUUUUGAGAGAAAGGGGUUUUUGGACUUGGAGGUUUGAUGCUUGCUUUCACUUUUGAAAGCAAGCUCCUCCCAAAUAAAUUAGUUGGGUCCGCUUUGUUGAUCCUUGACGUAAUAAGAUGUUUCUACGUUUUGGAUGUGGCAUUGUCAUUUGGAUGCCUGCUUCUAACUGUCUCAUGGACAAUGAUGGUGCUCCGGUCACUGCCACUUUACAUUGGCAGGGAGGCUUGGCCCCACAAAUGAACCCUUGACCUCAAAUCGGGUGAGACUACCCGCUGAACUUAAGCAUAUCAAUAAGCGGAGGAAAAGAAACUAACAAGGAUUCCCCUAGUAACUGCGAGUGAAGCGGGAAAAGCUCAAAUUUAAAAUCUGGUG